CAGUCGCCGCGGGAAUACGGAGGGGGCAAGCGUUAUCCGGAAUUAUUGGGCGUAAAGGGUACGUAGGUGGCCUUUUAAGCGUAGGGUAUAAGGCAAUGGCUCAACCAUUGUUCGCCCUAUGAACUGGAAGGCUUGAGUGCAGGAGAGGAAAGCGGAAUUCCUAGUGUAGCGGUGGAAUGCAUAGAUAUUAGGAGGAACAUCAGCGGCGAAGGCGGCUUUCUGGACUGCAACUGACACUGAGGUACGAAAGCGUGGGGAGCAAACAGGAUUAGAUACCCCAGUAGUCCCUGUCUCUUAUACA
Molecule: ribosomal RNA, 301 nt
Filed under: uncultured bacterium
Lineage: Bacteria
Description: partial 16S ribosomal RNA
Rfam family: Bacterial small subunit ribosomal RNA
Source: RNAcentral